UGAAGCCCAUUCUCCGGAAAACCUUGGAAUCAAACAAAAGGGGAAAGCAACAAGUUGCGCAAAAAAAAAAAAAGGAGCAGAAGCAGCGAGUUUCAGAGAAAAAAAGGGGGAAAAGAGAAGAAGAAGAAAGUUUUGGGCAAAGGCUUUAAGAAGAACUGAGAGUUGAAAUUGAUAAAGCUCUCCUUCGACUCAAGAGGUUAACCUUUUUCUUCUCAUUUGUUGAAUUAUUUCACUUUAUUUAUACAAUUUCAUGUAGUACAAAGGAAUUCAAUAUCAGCUUUCUCUUAUAUAAAACAAAUAUACAAUUAUAUGGAGAUAACAAGGCUAUAAGAGUUUGGUUUAAGCACUGAUAGGUUUAAUUUUAGAGGAGUAAAUUAUACUAAUUAGUUUGAAAUUGAUAGAAUUAUGGACUAGUUCUAUGAUUAAAUAUAAAUUCAGUAAUUUAGACUCAAACAUGAACCCCGAUGAUUGGGUAUUCUAAGUUAGCCAUGAAUUAGCCUAAACAAGAGAAUUAACAUGAGAUUAUAUUGUGUAAUUAUAGAUUAAUUGGAGGAAUUUGUACGAAUUGCUCGAGGUGAAGCAUUUGGUAUUUCGGCACGAGUAUUGUGAAUAGUAAUCUUACCGCAAUUUGUGUUUUCAUAACUUUCAUGAUUUACACAUGAUUUUUAAUAUAAAUAUGUUACCGAUUAUUUUGAGUUGCAUGUGGGACAAGUCUUUUACUCGAUAUGAUACCGAAAUAGUUAUUUGAGAAGAUUACCGUUGUUUUAAAUAUUUUCGUUGUCACUAGAUCUGUUUUACUGUUACUUGAAUUUACUGUUAUCGAAAUGAAAUUAUAUGAUUUGAUAAGAACCGAAAUGCCCUAUAUUGUUUAAAAAUGUUUCUUAUGAGUAUAUACGGGUUACAGAGACAAGUAUAAAUGGGAGUAGACUUUGAAGGAUCCCAUAGCUAACUAGACCUGGUGCACCUUGUAUUUACCGAUUACAGAGUACAGUUAUAGCCCUCGGUGGGAAGGUAGAACUAGCAUACCGUUACCGAUUUUUCCUCGAGUAGAGACUACCGUUAUAUUUGACUUCUUGCGAAGAAGUCUCGAUUACAUGAUCCGUUCAUUGAAACCUCCCAAAUGUGAAUAUUGAUAUUAUACAGUGGUUACCGAGCUUAGUACUGAAUUGUAUUUGUAUUAUACUACAAGAAAAGCAUGAUGAGACUGAAAAUUAUUUGUAGUUUCUGAAAGGACAUUUUUAUGUGAUUUUCUGUUUGAUAUACUAGCAUGUUUUUUGACUUGUCCCCAAAUUAAAACGUUUGUGGUUAAGUGUUAUUACUCACUGAGCUAGCGACUCAUUCUCCGCUAAUUCUUUACAGAGACAACAGUUGACGCAAGCGAGGAUCUCGUUAAUUAGAGCGCACAGGUUGAGAAUUCUUGGUGAGCCUCGCACUUGUUCGCGUGGGCGGAGAUUUUUAUCAAUUGUUAUGGUCUUUUCUUUGAAUUCUUAGAGUCGCUCCAUAGUCAUUCUUUUAGUGUCAUGAGUAUGAUUUUGCUAUUAGUCUUAUGUCGAGUAUCGUUCUUUAUUAUCAAAGUCGGAGAUAAAUUAGUAUUUCUGGUUGUUAGUGGGUUGAUUAGUAAUGGUGAAGACUAUUUUGGUUAAUUGAUAAGUUGUCAAUUGUUUGAAUUGCUAUUAGGAUGUUUGGUUGCUGAUUUGAG
RNAcentral lists this long non-coding RNA (1699 nucleotides) under Nicotiana tabacum (common tobacco). RNAcentral's name for it is "long non-coding RNA (NTAB_LNC007334)". Lineage: Eukaryota; Viridiplantae; Streptophyta; Magnoliopsida; Solanales; Solanaceae. The record is from RNAcentral.